GUUAAGAAUCUUGCACAAUGGGCGAAAGCCUGAUGCAGCGACGCCGCGUGAGCGAUGAAGGCCUUCGGGUUGUAAAGCUCUUUUCUGGGAGAAGAAACGGAUGGUUAAUAGCCAUCAACUGACUGUACCCCAGGAAUAAGCCUCGGCUAAUUACGUGCCAGCAGCCGCGGUAAUACGUAAGAGGCUAGCGUUGUCCGGAAUCACUGGGCGUAAAGCGCGUGUAGGUGGCUUGAUAAGUCGGAUGUGAAAUCCCCGGGCUCAACCCGGGAACUGCGUCCGAAACUGUCUGGCUGGAGAACAGGAGAGGAGAGUGGAAUUCCGGGUGUAGCGGUGAAAUGCGUAGAUAUCCGGAGGAACACCAGUGGCGAAGGCGGCUCUCUGGCCUGUUUCUGACACUGAGACGCGAAAGCGUGGGGAGCGAACGGGAUUAGAUACCCCAGUAGUCC
This 446-nucleotide ribosomal RNA is filed under the name uncultured bacterium. RNAcentral's name for it is "bacterial SSU rRNA". It matches the Rfam family "Bacterial small subunit ribosomal RNA", at positions 354 to 796 of the family's 1533-position model. The record is from RNAcentral.